RNAcentral lists this ribosomal RNA (253 nucleotides) under uncultured bacterium. Its description in RNAcentral is "partial 16S ribosomal RNA". It matches the Rfam family "Bacterial small subunit ribosomal RNA", at positions 524 to 776 of the family's 1533-position model. The record is from RNAcentral.
GACGUAGGGCGCGAGCGUUGUCCGGAUUUAUUGGGCGUAAAGAGCUCGUAGGCGGCUUGUCGCGUCGACUGUGAAAACCUGAGGCUCAACCUCAGGCCUGCAGUCGAUACGGGCAGACUAGAGUCCGGCAGGGGAGACUGGAAUUCCUGGUGUAGCGGUGAAAUGCGCAGAUAUCAGGAGGAACACCAAUUGCGAAGGCAGCUCGCUGGGACGUUACUGACGCUGAGACGCGAAAGCGUGGGGAGCAAACAGG